Molecule: non-coding RNA, 83 nt
Organism: Schistocephalus solidus
Lineage: Eukaryota; Metazoa; Platyhelminthes; Cestoda; Diphyllobothriidea; Diphyllobothriidae
Source: Rfam
GGCCCCAUAGCUCAGUUGACUAGAGCGUCUGCUGUACUAAAGCCCUCCCCUUGCUGGUAUGGGUUCGAAUCCCAACGAGGCCG